UACGUAGGGUGCGAGCGUUAAUCGGAAUUACUGGGCGUAAAGCGUGCGCAGGCGGUUUUGUAAGCCAGAUGUGAAAUCCCCGGGCUCAACCUGGGAAUGGCAUUUGGGACUGCAAGGCUGGAGUGCGGGCAGAGGAGACUGGAAUUCCUGGUGUAGCAGUGAAAUGCGUAGAUAUCAGGAGGAAUACCGAUGGCGAAGGCAGGUCUCUGGGCUGACACUGACGCUCAUGCACGAAAGCGUGGGAGCGAACAA
RNAcentral lists this ribosomal RNA (252 nucleotides) under uncultured bacterium. RNAcentral describes it as "partial 16S ribosomal RNA". It matches the Rfam family "Bacterial small subunit ribosomal RNA", at positions 524 to 775 of the family's 1533-position model. The record is from RNAcentral.